AUUGAACGCUGGCGGCGUGCCUAAUACAUGCAAGUCGAACGAAGUGGCUCACGGGUGAGUAAUAUAUAGUUAAUCUGCCCUACACAGAGGAACAACAGUUGGAAACGGCUGCUAAUACCUCAUAGUGUAGGAUGAGACUAUAUCGUAUCAGCUAGUUGGUAAGGUAAUGGCUGACCAAGGCUAUGACGCGUAACUGGUCUGAGAGGAUGAUCAGUAACAUUCGAACGGAGACACGGUCCAAACUCAUACGGGAGGGAGCAGUAAGGAAUAUUGCCCAAUGGGGGAAACUCUGACGGAGCAACGCCGCGUGGAGGAUUACACUUUUCGGAGAGUAAACUCCUUUUAUUAGGAAAGCGGUACCUGAUGAAUAAGCACCGGCUAACUCCGUGCCAGCAGCCGCGGUAAUAC
This 408-nucleotide ribosomal RNA is filed under the name uncultured bacterium. RNAcentral describes it as "partial 16S ribosomal RNA". It matches the Rfam family "Bacterial small subunit ribosomal RNA", at positions 30 to 526 of the family's 1533-position model. The record is from RNAcentral.